AUGGCAUACGUGACCUUUUUCACUAACCUCUGUCGGCGGAAGCCUAUGAAGAAUUUCGGCAGUCUGCUCAUGGUUAGCGGUGCAUGGAUCGACAUCUCAAGCAGGGGGGAGUUCAUACCCAGGACUCGCGACAGGGUUAGGUUCCCCAACCGCCGCCGCCUCUGGUCGCUGCCGCGGCCGCUGCUGCCGCCGUCCUUCCCGGCCGGCGCCGCCGCCUCAACGUGCUGCUGCUGCUCCUCUUCUCUGCUGCUGCUGCUGCUACUCUUCUUUAACGAGCUGCUGCUACUGCUCUUCAACGUGCGGCUGCUGCUGCUCUUCUCCUCCUGGUCAGCUGCUGCCAUCAAGCUGUGCCUCCUGCUGCUGCUGGUCUUCAACAAGCUGCUGCUGCUGCUCUGCUGGAAUGGCGCCCUCCACCACCACCGGGACUGGGUGCAGCACAUGAAGCUGCACAUGAGGGGCCAGCUGGUCUGCGAGCACCUCUCUGGUGCUCUGCCUUGUCCCCUGCUGCCCACUCCUCCAGCUGAGUUGGCCUUCCCUGUUGAUGCCGAUGAAACCAAGCAACGUGAGAUGCUAGAUACUUUUGAAGAGGCCACUGAAGAGUAUCAGAAUCAACUCCACUUAUACAAGCAAUGGACAAAUGAUGAUGCUCGAGCCUCUUCUAUCUUGGUGAACAGCAUGGAUGUUGAUCUCACCAUGGAUGUGGUGGCCCUUACCACUGCAGAUCAGAUGUGGGAGCACCUUCGCCAUCGCUAUGAGUCUACAGGGGAUGCCAUGUAUCUCUCUGUUGUUCGUCAAGAGCAACAACUACAACAGGGAGAUGCUACUGUGGAUGAUUUCUACAAGGAGAUGUCGGCGGUGUGGCGCCAAUUGGACUCUCUGGGAGCUGAUGUUUGUCGCAGAUGUCAGUGUUGUGUGCGGCAACAAGCUAAGUUGGAGGUUCGUCGCCUCUACGACUUCCUCACUCGCCUCCGGCCGGAGUUCGAGCAAAGUCGUGCUCAGCUAUUGGCACGCCAUCCUCGGCUCUCUACUCUGGAGGCCCUUGCUGAGGUGGGAUCUGAGGAGGUGCGCCUACGGAGCACGGGCUUAUUGCCAUCCUCUUCAGCAGUCCUGGCUGCUCGCGUUCCACCACCGCUGCCUAGUGUGCCCUCUUAUACACAGGUGGCAGCAACCUCCACUAGUGCUUUCUGCAACUACUGCAAGCAGGAUGGUCACAUGAUCACGGAGUGCAUCAAGAGGAGGAAACAGGGUCGCCGAGGUGGCCGUCCUCAAAAGGACUCGGGAGGCUCCUCUAAUUCUCGUGAGGGCUCCCUUGAGAAGGUUCACCAGGAGAUGCUCACCUUGCUGCGCCGCCUUACUGCUUCUGCACCAUCCUCAGGUUCUGCUGGUUCUGCUGGUCAGACGUCUGGUCCACCACCGCACUCUUCGUCAGGUCCACUCCUAGCCUUUCACCUGUGUAUGCUCAUGAGCUUCAGCUUACACAGGAUGAGGUUUCUAUUCCUGACUCUCCUACCCAGGUUGAGCCAUCCACUCUCUCUCCUUUUCCUUUUACCUACUCCCAUCGUGCUCAGCACCCUUCUCCCUCUGAUGCGCCACCUUCCACUUCCCCUCUCUCUCCGCUUCCUUUUGUCUACUCCCGUCGUGCUCAGCACCCUUCUCCCUCGGAUGCGCCCACUUCCACUUCCACUCCUUCCCUGUUGGGUCCCAUUCCUUCAGAACCACCUACCCCUCCUGCUCCUCGGUAUAAUCUGCGUGAUCGCCACACUCUCCAGCCUCCUGCGUACUAUGGAGGUGAAUAUCAGCGGCACAUUGGAGGCGAUCCGCGCAGCCAAGGCAAUGAUCAUGCACCGCGUCUCCAUGGCCAGCGGCAAGCUCACGAGGCUUAGGGUGGAGGGCAGAAGCGGCAAGGGUCUGCUUAGCAGGCUGGAUGAGGAGGAGGAUGCAGCCAUGAUGAUGCAUCGGCUGAAUCUGAGUGACGAGAGGGAUCUUGCAUGUUUUGCCUGGAUGAUGGAUGAGUUGGAUGAUCUGGAAUUCAACAAACCAAAGGUGUUUGAUACUAGAAUCUUAUCUCCCCCGAAUGCUGCCUUGCCUUGA
Molecule: ribosomal RNA, 2091 nt
Filed under: Triticum aestivum (bread wheat)
Lineage: Eukaryota; Viridiplantae; Streptophyta; Magnoliopsida; Poales; Poaceae
Description: partial small subunit ribosomal RNA
Source: RNAcentral